ACUGAAGUACAUAUAGCCG
RNAcentral lists this unclassified non-coding RNA (19 nucleotides) under Drosophila melanogaster (fruit fly). Lineage: Eukaryota; Metazoa; Arthropoda; Insecta; Diptera; Drosophilidae. The record is from RNAcentral.